Molecule: long non-coding RNA, 1417 nt
Filed under: Hordeum vulgare
Lineage: Eukaryota; Viridiplantae; Streptophyta; Magnoliopsida; Poales; Poaceae
Description: long non-coding RNA (HVUL_LNC009344)
Source: RNAcentral
UGUUCAACCUGAUUUGGUAAAGGUACCAGUGAAAGGCUAUAUAGGAGUACAUGGCGAGUAGUUUCAUUGGAACCGUCCUUAGGAACUGAGUUCCGUGUAUGUAAUCCAAGACGAGAUACUACCACAUGCUGGGCCCUGAAAUAUGACCCCGCUCGACUUAUUAAUCGCUUAGUACUCGGUGCAGGAGUUGCAAGUAGUUUCUGGUGUUUAUAGUCAUGCUCGAGGCCGUGCAUAGCGCUGACCUAAGAGGUGGGUUGUGUUGCACUAGGCAGUUGCACGGUGUACCAAGUGGCACCCAGAUGGUGGGCUUGGGAACCCUGCGCACAUCGUUUGGGGCCGUGGCGGAAACCUCGGCCGGACUUCCGUGCGGGUUACCCUCAGAUAGGCGAUAGACCUGGACCAAGUAUUAGCGUGGUUAAGGUCGUGGCCGACUCCCUCGCUGGGCUUCCGCUUGAAGGUUGCCGAGGUGCAUGACGUGCACAUGGCGAUAAGUGGCGAGAGCGUGUGUGAAGAAGUACACCUCCUACAGGGUUAUGAUCUAUUCGAAUAGCCGCGUCCGCGGAUAUGGACUACUUGGAGACAUAUGUUGUUCAUAGAUAACUUCAAUGGCUACUCAUAAAAUUGCCAAGAUAAGCGUGAGUGUCGUGGACGGCAUUUCCCUAUGGAGACGGAAUGAUUCCACGAUGGAGUAUUGUUGUGGUGUUAGUAGACUCGUGUGCGAGAAAUCAAGUUGUCAAAAAUUGUUUGAAAGGACGUGGAUGUCGCCUAGAGGGGGGGGGUGAAUAGGCGCUUUAAAAUAAUUAAGGUUUAGGCUUGAACAAAUGCGGAAUAAAACUAACGUUUAGUAUAUCAAGCACAAAACCUCAAACAACUAGGCUCACCUAUGUGCACCAACAACUUAUGCUAAGCAAGAUAAACAACUAAGUCAUAGCAAGAUAUAUGACAAGAGACAAUAUGGCUAUCACAAAGUAAAGUGCAUAAGCAAAGGGUUCGGGUAAGAGAUAACCGAGGUACGCGGAGAUGAUGAUGUAUCCCGAAGUUCACACCCUUGCGGAUGCUAAUCUCCGUUGGAGCGGUGUGGAGGCACAAUGCUCCCCAAGAUGCCACUAAGGCCACCGUAAUCUCCUCACGCCCUCGCACAAUGCAAGAUGCCGUGAUUCCACUAAGGUACCCUUGAGGGCGGUCAUCGAACCCGUACAAAUGGCAAACCUUGGGGGCGGUUACCGAACCCGUACACGUGGCAUCCCUUGGGGGCGGUUCCCGGUACCCGUACAAAUUGCUCGGGGCAAUCUCCACAACCUAAUUGGAGACCCCGACGCUUGCCCGGAGCUUCACACCACAAUGGUUGAGCUCCGAGACACCACCAAGCUUCUAGGACGUCAAAGCACCCACGAAGAACAAUAUCUAGGGUACUAAG